GGGCUCGUGGUCUAGGAUGGAUAUGACACCACCCUGCGGAGGUGGAGGCCCCGGGUUCAAAUCCCGGCGAGCCCGCCA
Molecule: transfer RNA, 78 nt
Filed under: Methanobacteriota archaeon
Lineage: Archaea; Methanobacteriati; Methanobacteriota
Also listed under: 1 other name
Description: Euryarchaeota archaeon tRNA-Arg
Rfam family: tRNA
About the family: Transfer RNA (tRNA) molecules are approximately 80 nucleotides in length.
Source: RNAcentral